RNAcentral lists this ribosomal RNA (455 nucleotides) under uncultured Pseudomonas sp. RNAcentral's name for it is "bacterial SSU rRNA". It matches the Rfam family "Bacterial small subunit ribosomal RNA", at positions 60 to 510 of the family's 1533-position model. The record is from RNAcentral. Lineage: Bacteria; Pseudomonadati; Pseudomonadota; Gammaproteobacteria; Pseudomonadales; Pseudomonadaceae.
AGUCGAGCGGUAGAGAGAAGCUUGCUUCUCUUGAGAGCGGCGGACGGGUGAGUAAUGCCUAGGAAUCUGCCUGGUAGUGGGGGAUAACGUUCGGAAACGGACGCUAAUACCGCAUACGUCCUACGGGAGAAAGCAGGGGACCUUCGGGCCUUGCGCUAUCAGAUGAGCCUAGGUCGGAUUAGCUAGUUGGUGAGGUAAUGGCUCACCAAGGCGACGAUCCGUAACUGGUCUGAGAGGAUGAUCAGUCACACUGGAACUGAGACACGGUCCAGACUCCUACGGGAGGCAGCAGUGGGGAAUAUUGGACAAUGGGCGAAAGCUGGAUCCAGCCAUGCCGCGUGUGUGAAGAAGGUCUUCGGAUUGUAAAGCACUUUAAGUUGGGAGGAAGGGCAGUUACCUAAUACGUGAUUGUUUUGACGUUACCGACAGAAUAAGCACCGGCUAACUCUGUGCCA